AGUCAACCUGCCCUAGGGACGUGGAAAACGUCGGGAAACUGACGAUAAACCGCGAUAGGUCAUGGCUUCUGGAAUGGGCUUUGGCUCAAACCUAUAUGGCCCUAGGAUGGGACUGCGGCCGAUCAGGUUGUUGGUGGGGUAAAGGCCCACCAAGCCUAUAACCGGUACGGGCUCUGAGAGGAGGAGCCCGGAGAUGGACACUGAGACAAGGGUCCAGGUCCUAUGGGACGCAGCAGGCGCGAAACCUUCGCAAUAGGCGAAAGCCUGACGAGGUUACCCCGAGUGUUUCCUGCUAAAGGAAUCUUUUGUCAGCUCUACAAAUGCUGGCGAAUAAGGGGUGGGCAAGUCUGGUGUCAGCCGCCGCGGUAAUACCAGCACCCCGAGUGGUCAGGAUGAUUAUUUGGCCUAAAGCAUCCAUAGCCGGCUCCGUAAGUCUUCCGUUAAAUCCACCUGCUCAACAGUUGGGCUGCGGGAGAUACUGCGGAGCUAGGAGGCGGGAGAGGCGAGGGGUAUUCCUUGGGUAGGGGUAAAAUCCUCUGAUCCAUGGAGGACCACCAGUGGCGAAGGCGUCUCGCCAGAACGCGCUCGACGGUGAGGGAUGAAAGCUGGGGGAGCAAACCGGAUUAGAUACCCGGGUAGUCCCAGCUGUAAACGAUGUAGGCUCGGUGAUGGGUUGCCUUUGGGGCAAUCCAGUGCCGCAGGGAAGCCGUUAAGCCUACCGCCUGGGGAGUACGGUCGCAAGACUGAAACUUAA
This 754-nucleotide ribosomal RNA is filed under the name uncultured archaeon. Its description in RNAcentral is "bacterial SSU rRNA". It matches the Rfam family "Archaeal small subunit ribosomal RNA", at positions 102 to 859 of the family's 1478-position model. The record is from RNAcentral.